RNAcentral lists this transfer RNA (65 nucleotides) under Cheumatopsyche infascia. RNAcentral's name for it is "tRNA-Gly". The record is from RNAcentral. Lineage: Eukaryota; Metazoa; Arthropoda; Insecta; Trichoptera; Hydropsychidae.
UUAUAUAAUAUAAUUCAGUAUAUUUGACUUCCAAUCAAAUUGUUUAUUUACCAGUAAUAUAAAUA